GGAUCCAGACUUUGAUCCUGGCUCAGGAUGAACGCUAGCUACAGGCUUAACACAUGCAAGUCGAGGGGCAGCAUACUGAUAGCUUGCUAUCAGUGAUGGCGACCGGCGCACGGGUGAGUAACGCGUAUCCAACCUACCUGUCACUCAGGCAUAGCCCGGUGAAAACCGGAUUAACUCCUGAUAAUAUCAUUAGAGGGCAUCUGACGAUGAUUAAAGUUUACGGUGACAGAUGGGGAUGCGUCUGAUUAGCUUGUUGGCGGGGUAACGGCCCACCAAGGCGACGAUCAGUAGGGGUUCUGAGAGGAAGGUCCCCCACAUUGGAACUGAGACACGGUCCAAACUCCUACGGGAGGCAGCAGUGAGGAAUAUUGGUCAAUGGACGCAAGUCUGAACCAGCCAAGUAGCGUGCAGGAUGACGGCCCUAUGGGUUGUAAACUGCUUUUAUGUGGGAAUAAAGUCAGGGACGUGUCCCUGUUUGCAUGUACCACAAGAAUAAGGACCGGCUAAUUCCGUGCAGCAGCCGCGGUAAUACGGAAGGUCCGGGCGUUAUCCGGAUUUAUUGGGUUUAAAGGGGGCGUAGGCCGGAGGGUAAGCGUGUUGUGAAAUGCAGUUGCUCAACAUCUGCACUGCAGCGCGAACUGUUCUCCUUGAGUGCGCAGGAAGUAGGCGGAAUUCGUCGUGUAGCGGUGAAAUGCUUAGAUAUGACGAAGAACUCCGAUUGGGGAGCCAGCUUACUGUAGCGCCACUGACGCUGAUGCUCGAAAGUGCGGGUAUCGAACAGGAUUAGAUACCCUGGUAGUCCGCACGGUAAACGAUGGAUGCUCGCUGUGUGCAUUCGUGUAUGCGGCCAAGGGAAACCAUUAAGCAUCCCACCUGGGGAGUACGCCGGCAACGGUGCAACUCAAAUGAAUUGACGG
This 917-nucleotide ribosomal RNA is filed under the name uncultured Bacteroidota bacterium. Its description in RNAcentral is "bacterial SSU rRNA". It matches the Rfam family "Bacterial small subunit ribosomal RNA", at positions 1 to 916 of the family's 1533-position model. Lineage: Bacteria; Pseudomonadati; Bacteroidota. The record is from RNAcentral.